AUUAUUUUUUGUCUUUUAUUUCCAAAACUAUAAAAGACAGAGGUUAAGUUUAAGUUUACCUGUCUUGGAGUUAUUGCCCUUUUUUUAUCAAUUUUUUCUUGUAAACGUAUUCAAAGAUCUUUUCCCUUGAAACGGCCUGGUCAUUUGGAACUAAACUUGGUCACAAUAGUCCUUAGGUGGUCCCCUUUAAGAAGUAUAGCCAACAUGUCUGCACCUAAUCCAAGAUGGCCACCAGCGGGGAACAAAGUUUAACAUUGGACCCCAAGGGGAAAUGCAUUCAAAGAUCUUCUCUUUUUAAACUAUUGUGCAAUUAGAACCAAAGUUGGUGAUUGGUCCUUGGAUUGUUUUCAUUAAAAAUUAUAUCUGACACGUCCGCACCCCAUCCAAGAUGGCUGCCAGCGGGGAAAAUAGUUUAACAUUGAACUCUAUGGGGAAAUGCAUUCAAAGAUUUUCUCUUCUGAAACUACUACCAGUUGGAACGAAACUUGAUCAAAAUAGUCCUUUGAUGGUCCCCUUUAAAAAUUGUAUCUGACAGUCCCACACUCGAUCAAAAAUGGCCGCCCCCGAUUAGGGUCUCUACUCCACUGAAAUAUCACUUUCAUUUU
Molecule: long non-coding RNA, 605 nt
Filed under: Mytilus galloprovincialis (Mediterranean mussel)
Lineage: Eukaryota; Metazoa; Mollusca; Bivalvia; Mytilida; Mytilidae
Source: RNAcentral